RNAcentral lists this ribosomal RNA (519 nucleotides) under Micromonospora sp. Kint1N. RNAcentral describes it as "bacterial SSU rRNA". It matches the Rfam family "Bacterial small subunit ribosomal RNA", at positions 68 to 605 of the family's 1533-position model. The record is from RNAcentral. Lineage: Bacteria; Bacillati; Actinomycetota; Actinomycetes; Micromonosporales; Micromonosporaceae.
GGAAAGGCCCUUCGGGGUACUCGAGCGGCGAACGGGUGAGUAACACGUGAGCAACCUGCCCUAGGCUUUGGGAUAACCCUCGGAAACGGGGGCUAAUACCGAAUAUUACCUGGUCUCGCAUGAGGUUGGGUGGAAAGUUUUUCGGCCUAGGAUGGGCUCGCGGCCUAUCAGCUUGUUGGUGGGGUAAUGGCCUACCAAGGCGACGACGGGUAGCCGGCCUGAGAGGGCGACCGGCCACACUGGGACUGAGACACGGCCCAGACUCCUACGGGAGGCAGCAGUGGGGAAUAUUGCACAAUGGGCGGAAGCCUGAUGCAGCGACGCCGCGUGAGGGAUGACGGCCUUCGGGUUGUAAACCUCUUUCAGCAGGGACGAAGCGAGAGUGACGGUACCUGCAGAAGAAGCACCGGCCAACUACGUGCCAGCAGCCGCGGUAAGACGUAGGGUGCGAGCGUUGUCCGGAUUUAUUGGGCGUAAAGAGCUCGUAGGCGGCUUGUCGCGUCGACCGUGAAAACUUGG